UGUGGACACCUUUAGGAUGACUACAAACGGAACGUGGGCACGAAUAUAGAACGUCUCAGGGCUGUUGCGAUAUUCCUGCUUGAAUCGACGAGCUUGUUGUCAUAAUUGCUUAAUGGGGUCACCUUGCCUCUUCCUGGCCCUAGUCGUUGUCGUGUUCCCUGACGACAUUUUCAGCGCUGGCAUUUACUCCUAUGUACCCACGGCCGUUAGCGUAGCUUCUGAGGAAGGCGAGGUCUCGCAAUUUAUUCCGGCAGUGCCGUUAUCAAACAUCAGGUUUCCUUGGUACCAGGUACCAUACACAGCGGUUAAGCUAAACAAUCUUGAGCCUACUGCAGACACGUUAAGCAAUGGUGAAACAAGAACAAUCGGGAUAACAAAAAUUGAACGAGGGCCUUCUGUAGUGAGCACGACAACUGCUCUCGUUUUUGGAGGCCCGGUGGCUACCAAUCUCUCAGCAGAUUCCCUUCCACCAGUGGCUUCGAGUCCGCAUGUUACAAAAAGCACGCCUCGGCUUUCCUCAGGAAAAGGAAGCAAUAAAGCGACCCUGACUACUACUAAGGUUCCGCAUGUUACGUAUACAUCGACCAACACGGUAUUUCAGAUUCCAGACCAGCCACGGUAUGGGUGGAAACUUCCGCCUUAUAUUCGUCCUCCUGCCUUUAGGAAUGCCGUAGGAAACCUUGCCCCCAUGAAUUUGAGUCGAAAUGCUACGAAAAGCACUGCUCAACUUUCAUUAGGCGAGGGAAGCCAGAAAGCCACUCUAAUUACAACCAACAUUCCGUACAUCAUAUCUACACCGGCAAACACGGUAAUUCGUAUUCCAGACCCGUCACGGUAUGCACUGAAACCACCACCGCAUGUUCCUCGUCCUACCUUUAGAAAUACCGUGGAUAGUACCCCAAAAAGUGAGAACACGUACUACACAGAAAACCUGAUAUUCGCAACUGGUCCCAGUGAAUUUCAUAUUGAAUCACCUUCGCCUAUCGUGCCUAAACCCACAGUUUCUGCGUCUUCGACCAUACAUUCCUCCAAAAGUAUUAAAUAUCCUGCGAAAAAGUUCCACAACACACAUUCGGUUAUCGUUUCGCCUGGCCCCGCUAUAGUUCAAACCGCUCCACCUCCAUCAUUUUCAUUUAGCCAACCUCUCUCGACACACAGAACUAUGACACUGACAAAGAAGUCGACAAGUAUAUCAGAGAGCUCAGUUCAACCACCCGCCGCAGUUAUGUUAAAUGCCCCGACGAUAGUAAAUGUGGUCGUUCCGACACCAACAAUGAUCCCAAAAGCUCGCCCGAAACCUUAUACAUCCCCUCCCAAACAGGCUCGCCAAGAUUCCAUUCCUUCGCCGCUUGUGAUCGUCCCGCCAGCGCCCACCGUACUCGUAAAGUCUCCCGCCGCACACCCAUCCACGACACUGUUAGCGACGCGACCGACUACUGUGAGUCCAGCGAAACAAGUGGCGAAGGAGAAAAUCUCUAAGAAACCUCCCUUACCGGCAGGCAGAAUCACCAGGCCUCCAAUUGUCCUUCAAGCACCACCACCCCCAACAAAACGCAAUGGAAGUACAACCAUAAAAAAUUUUACCCAAACUACGGUUACAAAUUCGACAUUAAUUGUCUCUCAGAAUGAAACUUCUCGUCGGCAUGAUCACCACUCCGUCGCGCCUAAGCUUGUUCUCACUACUCGCACUCCAACUUCGCACAAGAAACCGACCCCAGCGUCUGUGGCGGCUAACUCGAAGCUCCAUUACAGACGAAUUGUGAAGAAGGUUAUUCAGAGCGCUGUUGGAGUAGUUAAACGUCCACCUGGCGUGAAUGUUUCACUGUCUCCCGGGGAACAGGCUAAUCUGGUGAAAUCAUCUAUAACGACCCAUCCCUCUCCCGUAAUCUUAAAGUUUCCGGGCAACAAGACAACUUCGCCCAGCGUCGUGGUUGCUCGACAUCCCACAAUUGUCGGAGCCGUUCCUACUGCGCCGACGAAAAGUACGACGGCUCCACAGAUCGUUAAAACAAAGUCGACAGCCAAACCUACUACUUCUCCUCCUACUUCAGGAAGCAAAUCGGCCACAGCCGCUCUCGAAGUCAACAAACGACAUGUCGUCGUGGCCAACACAAGUACUAGCACUGUGACCGAGUUGAAGAAACCGGGUAUCUACAAGUUAGCAGCAGCGUUGACAUCAUCAGCCGUAGCAAAUGCGAUGAAAGCGGCCGGACCCAUUACCGGAGAAGCGCGGGGCCCACUGGUUGGGGGAAGCGGUACGGAGAUCAUUGCGCAGCCGAUCGUGGUGUUAGAGAAUUCUACAAUGCAGCGUCCGCCACCUGUCAUACUUUUUUAAUGCCCCUCAAAACUUUCUCUUCGCGCCAGGUACCACGAUCGCACGCAACGUUACCCGCCAGCUGAGCACCUUUGUAGGACGAUAAAAAUUCAGCAGAACUGCCUACGAAGAUGCACGUUCUUCAGCGCCACCAACAAAAUAAAGAUACAACAAAAGAAAGAGAAGCUUUGUAAUUCAAUGAUUAUCGUAUAUAAAGCUUUUUUUUUU
RNA transcript from Dermacentor silvarum, 2542 nucleotides. RefSeq lists it as uncharacterized. Lineage: Eukaryota; Metazoa; Arthropoda; Arachnida; Ixodida; Ixodidae. The record is from RefSeq and is a predicted model, not a curated record. The transcript is spliced from 4 exons.